AACGAACGCUGGCGGCAGGCCUAACACAUGCAAGUCGAACGCUGUAGCAAUACAGAGUGGCAGACGGGUGAGUAACGCGUGGGAACGUGCCCUUUGGUUCGGAAUAACCCAGGGAAACUUGGGCUAAUACCGGAUACGUCCGUAAGGAGAAAGAUUUAUCGCCAAAGGAUCGGCCCGCGUCGGAUUAGCUAGUUGGUGAGGUAAAGGCUCACCAAGGCGACGAUCCGUAGCUGGUCUGAGAGGAUGACCAGCCACACUGGGACUGAGACACGGCCCAGACUCCUACGGGAGGCAGCAGUGAGGAAUAUUGGACAAUGGGCGCAAGCCUGAUCCAGCCAUGCCGCGUGAGUGAAGAAGGCCUUAGGGUUGUAAAGCUCUUUCAGCGGGAAGAUAAUGACGGUACCCGCAGAAGAAGCCCCGGCUAACUCUGUGCCAGCCGCCGCGGUAACAC
Molecule: ribosomal RNA, 451 nt
Filed under: uncultured bacterium
Lineage: Bacteria
Description: bacterial SSU rRNA
Rfam family: Bacterial small subunit ribosomal RNA
Source: RNAcentral